Molecule: ribosomal RNA, 447 nt
Filed under: uncultured bacterium
Lineage: Bacteria
Description: bacterial SSU rRNA
Rfam family: Bacterial small subunit ribosomal RNA
Source: RNAcentral
UCGGGAAUUUUGGGCAAUGGGCGAAAGCCUGACCCAGCAACGCCGCGUGAAGGAUGAAGUAUUUCGGUAUGUAAACUUCGUAAGAAUAGGAAGAAUAAAUGACGGUACUAUUUGUAAGGUCCGGCUAACUACGUGCCAGCAGCCGCGGUAAUACGUAGGGACCAAGCGUUGUUCGGAUUUACUGGGCGUAAAGGGCGCGUAGGCGGUUUGUCAAGUCAGUUGUGAAAUCUCCGAGCUCAACUCGGAACGGUCAACUGAUACUGUCAAACUAGAGUACAGAAGGGGCAAUCGGAAUUCUUGGUGUAGCGGUGAAAUGCGUAGAUAUCAAGAGGAACACCUGAGGCGAAGGCGGGUUGCUGGGCUGAUACUGACGCUGAAGCGCGAAAGCUAGGGUAGCAAACGGGAUUAGAUACCCACGUAGUCCCUGAGCGGGCUGGCAAGGCGCAU